UUAAUUAACACUGCCAUAAUGACUUGGAUGGCAGGUGGUGCUAGUGGCGGUGAGGAGCGAAGCACCGGCGGCAUGUUCAAGGCUUCGGUGCCUCGGGUGUGACUGUGAAGUUCAUCACUGUGUUUGCAGAGCACGGCUUUCGCUGGAGCUGCUCCGGGAAGAUCUUGGCGGAUCCCCGGCCUGGUGUGUAUUCGCGCCCCUCAGGGUUCCCUCCGUCACUCAGACCGCGGCUGGAGGAAGGCGCCCUGCCGGAGACCAGUGUACGAGUUCAGAUCAUCUCAGCAAGAACUAGUAUGAGGCUACUCACCGAAGAACAAAGUGGCAUCGUCUGCAGUGAGCCAUGGAGUCAGUUGGAAGCGUGAUGUUGGAUUCUCCACCUCAACCUUUAUUUUGAUGAAGGGCUUGACCACGGCUCCAAGGAAUUGUGGUGCUGUCCCCUGUGCUUGCUCCUCACCAUCCCCUUCCACUGGUUGUGCUGAUGAAUAAUUGAAAACUCCGGCACAGCAGAAAGUCCAAUGAAUUCAGAGCAAGGGGUGAGUAGACCUUGGCAAGAUGAGCGCUGGGGAAUACGUUGUCACACUUGUCACACAGUCCCCACACCCACUGGUGAAGACAUGCUUGAUCUGCAUCUGAGGAGGAUGGAAAAGUAAACUUUGAUUAUCUAAUGAUGAUUUGACCAUUAAAACCUUCAGUGGAGCAUUAUCUCUGCUAUCAGAUUAAAAUACCCAGUUUUAUUCCCUGUGCAUCAUAAAGGAUAGAUAGAAUCUUAUGUUAUGGAACUCCUUGUACUGUGGCACCUAUGGCUACAAACAUCUUGCCAUGAGAGCACAUAAUGCUCAAAAAACUUGCCUUGAUAUACAAGUAUUUGCUUGUGUUACAAGCAAUGCUGUUGUUAACCUAAGCUUUCUUUUUCAGUGUAAAUACUUUGUUUAGCAAUAUAGCCUAAACAAAGGGACCACUGAAUAUUAUUUUAUCCCUCAUUUAAUAUAUCCUCAAGCUUCGUAAAUACAGUAUAAAAUUCUGCCUUUUAGUAUUUUUCAACUGCUAUCGUGACUAGAAAAGACUGGAUAUGGACAUACACAGUGGAAGUCCAGCAUUCAUAUACACAAUCCAUUCCAGGAGGCUGUGCAAAUUGCAAGUUGUACAAAUGGCUGAUCAAUUUUUGCCAUAAAAAUGUAAACUAGAUUGAUCCAUUCAAGACCCACAAAUGAUUGCUUAUUUAAUUAAAACUGAUGGUGAUUAUUCCAAAUAAGUGCACACAGUCCCACUUAGAGGGGGUUGCUGGUGACAGGUGGCUAGCCUAUUCUACUAGUAUCCCCCUCACCUUAUCAGACAACAGAGAGAAGGGUUUCAAUUAUCAGUAUAAAAAGAAAAAUUCUCACAGGUUUCUUCUAGUGUUAAGAUGAAAGAUUGCAUGGAGAUGAGAUCCAAAUAUUAGUUCAUUACUGUAUACACAUUAGUUCAGGCAGUGAUGUAAUGAAAUUGCACAAAUUUAAUCACUUGGCAGUUAGUGGGCAGUAGGUGGGGAAUGAGUGUUUCAGUGAGAUAGACAGAUAGUUGUGGUGGUAAGGGGAUGGAUGGAUAGAUAAUUGUGGGGAUGGUGAGGAAGCUGAUGGAUGAAUGAAUGGAUAGUUAUUAUGGUGAGUGUGCAAAGUGUGCCAAUAUGCAUAGGGCCUUUCCCAACACUUACCUUUACACCAGCAAUUCCCCGUAGCAAUGACUCUAAUAUCAGUAAUGGCAGCCUGAACACAGUGGACCUCUCCAACCUUUCCCUGGAAGUAGAAGGUCUCCAAGCUGGACUGCUUUGCCUCUCCCACCACCUCUGGAUGCAUCACAUAAGGAAAGGAAGGAAACACAUUAUAAAACUAGAGUGCCACACAGUCAUCAGCCAAUGGGAUAACUUAGGUGCAUUUUCAUAGACCAGAAGUCUGUUGAUUUAUACAACUGUAAAUCUUCAAUUAAGUCAUGUCCAUCAUCAUAGAAGGAAAACAAAUUAAGUAUACAAGAAGAGCUUAAGUGACACUGGAAAGAUGACAGCACUGCCCAAUGGGAAUUUUGUUUGUGGCAAAAUUGGCAGGCAAACCAAUGAAGUUGCCGAGCAAGGACCAAGCAAAACCAUCAGUGAUGUGGGAAGACCAGAUGAGAUUCUACAGAAUUUUAGCCCAAAUCAAAUGACCUUGUUUCUAUGAAAUAAAAUGUACAGUAAACAUGCCUGAGAGGAAACAAAGGGUGGUGUUGGAGCACUACCCACUGGACCUGUCCCUCAACACAGUAGAGGCUCAUCCUCAGCCUCAGUAGAGGUUCACCCGUAGAUGGCCUUCACCCAAUGCCUGCAUGCCUGAAGGAACAAGGUGCCCCAAGGCAAGUACUCCAGUGUGUUUGUAGGAUUGCCGCCCUCGAACAGGACCUUGACUGCUGGGACAUACUUCCUGAGAGAGCCUGUGAGGUGCUACAAUUGCCAGUGUUUUGGCCACCUUCAGGCACAUUGUGAAGACUCCAUCAAGUACAGUGUGUGUAGCCUGCCCCACCCAACAAAGGAGUGCAUUGCCCACCACAAGGCAAAGGAGCCAACCACCACCAAGUGCUCUUCUAACUGCAGCAAAAGCUAUUAUGCAUGCAGGUCUCCUACGACUGCCCCGAUCCCUCCACCGGUGACAGCAGCAGUUCCAGGCGCCACAAAGGCAUCCAAAACAGCCCAACAACAAGGUGAGCAACAACAGCAUCUCCACAUAGCCAGCCCCACCAAAAAUCCCCAUCUCUUGUUGCUGCCCUCGACCAGCUUCCCCUCUAGAAGAAAGGAGAGAAAAAAAAAAAGCCUGACAGUGCUAUCUACUUCACAGACAAGGCAGCCAUCACCAGCAGGACCAAGCUGGUUGCAAGGAUUCCAGACCACUGCUCCACCUUGCAGACCAAGCUAGUGGCCAUUCAGCUGGCCCUGGAGCACACCCACCAGUGCCAGGAGACCACCGUGGUGCUGCACACUGACUACAGGGCCAGGCUUCAGGUCCUCCAGUAGCUGCAUCCCAGUCACAAUGCCAGACUCAUCACUGCCAUCCUGGGUAGCCUCCAGAGCCUCGCUGCACAGGAGCAGCACACGAGACUCAACUGGAUACCCAGCCAUGUGGGGGUAGCGAGCAACAAGGCAGCCGCUGCUACCACGAUGGGUUGCCUAGUGAUUUAGCACAUGGCUCCAAGCCUGCAUCAGGUGAAGGCAGGAGCAAGGUGUGCUGCAAUCCAGCAUGCCCACCAGUCAUACUGACUACAAGAGGGAAUCAGUAAGCAGGUGGCUUGGUAUGCAGCCGCCACUGCCUAUCAGCAGCUCGACAGCUCCUGGCAACAGCCAAGAGCAGAUGGUGUGCUGCUGCAGUAUAUAAGAUUGGGCUACUGCACCAGGGAGGAGCUGUAUGAUGGCUUCCAUGGUCAGGAAUGCAUCCACUGUAGAAGGUAAACCAUCACCCACUGUUGCACUACCUGCUGUCCUGCCAACCACUGCCCUCAGAUCAGCAUAGCCACCUCCCAGCCAGCCUGAAGGCCAUGGCCUUCUCACCAACUAUGAGGCCAGGGCUACCCUUCUCGUCCGCCACGUGCCCAUUGACGUGAUGCCUCACUAAUGCAUAAUUUACUCACCACAGCUGCAGCAGCACAGAGGAUGGUGAGCAGCUCAUCUUGCCACACCUCAGCGGGCUGGUGCCCACUUUGGGUACUUGUACAUAUGUAUUUAUGUGAUUAUAAAUCACAUACAUAUCAUUGUACUUGUACUUAAGUUAUUUACCAUGCCUGCUCAAUGUUAAAUUAAUUUUUCCAUGUUUGUACUGUAUUAUCACAUCAAAGUUUUAUUACGCUAAUUUUAUUAAAGAUUAUAAAAAUGAGCUACAAUAAAGGAGCUCAGCUAUACAAUGAGUUUUCUUUUCCACAUCAGUUCAUUGUUAAUUUUUUAAAAGGACAUGAAUACCAACUAGAUCUUCAUUUUGGACUAUAUCUGACUAUAUCUGAGUUUUAACUGAUGAUUGCUGUACACCGAUGAUUCUUCAACACAAGCAUCAGUUCUCAACAUUCCAUCUCUACAAAGUAAAGACU
Long non-coding RNA from Portunus trituberculatus (swimming crab), 4077 nucleotides. RefSeq lists it as uncharacterized. The record is from RefSeq and is a predicted model, not a curated record. Lineage: Eukaryota; Metazoa; Arthropoda; Malacostraca; Decapoda; Portunidae. The transcript has 6 exons.